Long non-coding RNA from Theobroma umbraticum, 159 nucleotides. RefSeq lists it as uncharacterized. The record is from RefSeq and is a predicted model, not a curated record. NCBI's taxonomy places the organism in Eukaryota, Viridiplantae, Streptophyta, Magnoliopsida, Malvales, Malvaceae.
AAAAAGGUUUGAGCUUGAGAAGGUGGCACUUUUUAGAGGGUAGGGUUGCUACUGCUGUCGACAACCUGUACACCAAAGGGCAAUACAACCUAUUAGAAAUUAAGAAAUCAUGGGAAAUAAAUGCUGCGAAUGUCAUGGCUGACGAUAUAUGGAAUGGAC